AGGCCAGCCUGCCAGUGAUCAUUUCAACGGCCACGGUACCCUAACCGUGCGAAGGUAGCACAAUCACUUGUUCUUUAAAUAAGGACUAGUAUGAACGGCAUCACGAAGACUAUACUGUCUCCUUUCUUCAAUCAGUGAAACUGAUCUUCCCGUGAAGAAGCGGGAAUCACAACAUAAGACGAGAAGACCCCAUGAAGCUUCAAAUUAAAUACUAACUGCUAUUCUAACACCACCACAACCUAGCAGAUCUAGUCAUUAAUUUUAGGUUGGGGUGACCACGGAGCACAACAAAACCUCCACAAUGAAAAGGCCUGACUCCCUAAUUUAAGAACAACAAUUCUAACAAUCAAUAUAUUGACAUACUUGACCCAAAUUUUUGAUCAAUGAACCAAGUUACUCUGGGGAUAACAGCGCAAUCCAUUUCAAGAGCCCCUAUCGACAAAUGGGUUUACGACCUCGAUGUUGGAUCAGGGUAUCCCAGUGGUGUAGCCGCUACUAAAGGCUCGUUUGUUCAACGAUUAAAACCCUACGUGAUCUGAGUUC
This 543-nucleotide ribosomal RNA is filed under the name Arthroleptis krokosua. RNAcentral describes it as "partial 16S ribosomal RNA". It matches the Rfam family "Bacterial large subunit ribosomal RNA", at positions 1898 to 2612 of the family's 2925-position model. The record is from RNAcentral. Lineage: Eukaryota; Metazoa; Chordata; Amphibia; Anura; Arthroleptidae.